Molecule: non-coding RNA, 878 nt
Organism: Camelina sativa (false flax)
Lineage: Eukaryota; Viridiplantae; Streptophyta; Magnoliopsida; Brassicales; Brassicaceae
Source: RefSeq, a predicted model, not a curated record
CAUGAAUUAACAAAAACAUGAGAAUGCAAGUAACCACAAACAAAAUAGCAGACUUCAUGAAUCUUCUGAUGUGAAUUAUAAUUAAUCCUCUUACUUAGAUUAUUCUUAGGGUAAGGCGUAUGUAUAUAUACUCAGAAAAACAAACAAAAAAAGCUGUGUUAGUUCGUGUUUACGUAUAGAAAUAUCACAAAAUAAACUUUCUCGGAAAAAUUACGUGUUUGGUAUAAAACCCAUAAGGGUCGUUGUGUACGCAUCAAACAUAUAAAAGUUGUGCGUUUAUGUGUUUACGUGUAAAACAGUCACGAAGCAAUCAAUGCAUUUACGCGUGAGGUAAUAAUAAACAAAGGAAAGUUUUAUUUUUUUUGUGUGCGUUAAGAACACAUAACGUACACGUAAUCAAAUAAAAAUUAUGUGUUUAUCAGUUAAACAAGACUUGUUGUGAUAGCUAAAUUUUCCAUGUGUUAGCUCGAUCCUUGCACCAACCACGAACAAAGCAUUGGUUAAUUGGCAGUCUGUGAGUUGUGCCCCAUCUCAAAGGAUGUCAUGGACAAGAUAUUUUACUCGUCUUAUCUGGUGAUUUAAAGUUGGUAUUGCAACUCGGAUUGGGCCUCAUGUCCUUUGACGAGAUCCAAGUCUCCAACCAUGGCAGUGACAACUUCGAAGUUCAAAUGGGACAAUGAGGAAGGCACUUAUAUCUUGUUUCAGCAUUCUCCAUUGCGAACCAGUGUAAUUGUUUUAUGUCAUUCAGUCAGCGCUUGUAUGUGGUGUACCCCGAUUUUUCAUGGAAUACCAACAAACACAUUGAUGUAGAAUAUUACUUUUUCGUGAUAAAAUUCGUUACAGCUUUUCAUAUUGCAGCUAACCAUCUUUUUCAUGAA